RNAcentral lists this long non-coding RNA (682 nucleotides) under Capsicum annuum. RNAcentral's name for it is "long non-coding RNA (CANN_LNC000716)". The record is from RNAcentral. Lineage: Eukaryota; Viridiplantae; Streptophyta; Magnoliopsida; Solanales; Solanaceae.
AUAAAAAAUGUCUUAAAUAAUUGGGAUCCUGAUACCAACCGCGCAUCGAGCCCGGGUAUGAAUACUUGUCUGAUUAAUUGGAAAGAUAAAUUCAUAAAUUUCUAGUCUGAUCAAUGGGUGGAAGAUGCCAAAUUGAAGGAUUUAUUUCCUGUUUUAUAUUCACUUAGAGUGGGAAAAAAGAUCGUGUGAGGCUAUAGCCAUGUAGAUCUUGAAUGGAAGUUACUCUUUAGAAGGAAGGUUAAUGACUGGGAGAUGGAUGAAAUCUGUGACUUAUUAAAUCUAUUAAAGCCAUAUAAUCGGAUGAAAACAAUUAGGAUGGAUUCUCUGUGAACAGCUACUACAAGGUGUUUCAGAAUCAAGCUGAUAACCGGGAAGUUGUUUGUCCAUGGAAAAUGAUUUGGAAACAAAAGCUCCUGCAAAGUUUGCCUAACACAAGAUGCUCUUACGGAAUUGAUUGUCAAGAUUUUAGUAGGUUAUAUAAAUAUAUAAAUAUAUAUAUAUAUAUAUAUGUAUUCCAUUUGAAAGUUUUGGGAUCCGACAAACCCGUAGCCAAAAGACUACAUCCAUCUAUGUAUACUUUACAGAGGGAAACUUCAACAUGUUGCAGAUAUUCCUUUGUUCUUUGUGUUCUUUUGCAGUACCUUCUUGGUGCUAGGUUUAGUAAAAUUAUUUACCUUUUCCU